CAAAAUAUUUCGUUUGUGGGGCUGCUGCCACAUCCUAAAUGGCCCAGCAAGGCAUGCGGCAAUAUAUAUAUAUAUAUAUUAGAUAGGGCAUUCAAUUUUAGAGGUGGAGUGUGUCACAGCCUGAAGGAGUGCAGUUGUCACUGCAUUCAAUUAAAAAAGCAAGCGGGGUCCAUUUCACUCAUUCAUUUCCUCUUGCAGCAGCGGCCCAAGAC
RNAcentral lists this long non-coding RNA (212 nucleotides) under Vigna radiata. RNAcentral's name for it is "long non-coding RNA (VRAD_LNC004048)". Lineage: Eukaryota; Viridiplantae; Streptophyta; Magnoliopsida; Fabales; Fabaceae. The record is from RNAcentral.